Diachasmimorpha longicaudata is the source of this 3985-nucleotide long non-coding RNA. RefSeq lists it as uncharacterized. NCBI's taxonomy places the organism in Eukaryota, Metazoa, Arthropoda, Insecta, Hymenoptera, Braconidae. The transcript is spliced from 2 exons. The record is from RefSeq and is a predicted model, not a curated record.
UGACACAAGAUAAUCAGUUAAUUGUGUCGAUUCAUAUUUCACGGAAUUCCCCCAAACGAGAUUUCAUUAUCGAAUGAAUACGAGUGGAUACGAAUGUUUGAAUAAGUAAUUCGUCAGUCUCGCAAUUUUAUACGGAUCAAUCAUAACUUGUCUGAUUCCAUCGUUUUGACAAGAAAUUCAUGAUUAAAAUUUUAUCUCACCGAGACUGUGUCAAUGACGAAACGUCACACGAUGAUAUCGACAAAGGAAUUCGAUAUCGUGAAAAAAGAAAUUGGCAAUUUUUUAUUUACCAAAUCAACAGAUUCAGGGACAAUCGAGGAGUAAUCGUUGAGAUAGUAUUUUUCCAAGUGCAACUUAGUGUUUACAUUGUUUGAAGUGGUAGAGAAGAUAUUGUUAUAGCGAUUGUCAUGAUGGUAUCACUUACGUGCUACUGAACUCCUUCAUCUGAUUGCCAGGAUUCUCCUUUUCACUAGUUUUCUUCCACAUUUUGAAUUUCCAAUUUCUGAAAGAAGAAUAAAUCAGUGGAAUGAGAUGAAUCGACUAAAUGUUUUUCUGCAGAAUCAUGAGACUGGGGAUCUUCGUCGUUAACUUGGGAAAAACCAGCGGAUGAAAUCUGUUGCCGGAUUGGAUCCAUAAAUAAUAUCAUAACAUUCUUCCGUGAUAACUCUAGUACGAGAACCGGUUGCGAUAAAUAAUGAGCACAAGGGAUCAUUAUUCCCCCACUUUUCGCACAAAAAAACAGAAGUUUGCUGGGUCUGACACAGGCAGUUCGUGGGCCUUUUCCCCUUUGAAUCCAAUCCAAUGCCACUCCAAUGAGGAUCACGACUGGGCUAUGCUUGGAAUGCCAUUUUUUGUAGCGCACGGAGUAAAAAAUUUAGAGAACAUUGCCUUGACGGGAAUUGGAAACGUCCAAAGAAAAUUUCGAAUUCCAUGAACUGGUUAGUAGGAAUUUCCAAGAGAGACGCGGAAAUUGAUUCAAAGCCUGAACAUUAUGAAUUUUUCAAUUUCAAUAUGAAUUAAAUUAAUGAGAGCCUCUGACUUAUUCAUACUUUACUCUUCGAAUCAAUCCCUUCGUCAAAAAUGAUGACUAGACUAUCCUUAAAAUUACAAAAGGAGUAACCUUGGGAAAAAAGGCGAUACAAAUUCUCUCCACGUGGAACUGAAAAAAUAUCGAGGACUAGAACACAAGAGUUCUCCAAGUAAUUUUAAAUAUCGGUACCAAAUCGGCCUAGAAACGUAAUCAGUAGAAAAUUGAAGAAUAUAGUCAUCUGAAUAGUCCAACAUUAGAAAAAAACUAUUAACAAACUAACCUGAAAGAACAGUUUUUAUUGAUAAAAAAUUUUCAAUUUUUUUUCAUGAAAAACUGAAGUGUAAAUGUCCCAGAUCUCUCGAAAUUUCAGUGUAACUAUCACUCGGUAAAUAUUACUAAAAAGUAUUGGAACGAUGCAAAAAUUGUCUAGUCAAAACCGACGUACAUCGAUCAACCAGAAAAUCCUCAACACUGCACACAUUUCCUAGUCCUGCCUGCUUAUAAUUUCAAAAUAGUGCGAUAAGCAGUGUCAUUCAUGAGAAUCGAUAAAUGUCAUGAAAAAUUCCAGAAAAAAAAAAAAGUAUUGGAGAGACUAUUCAUCAACAGUUGAAGACAGCGUAAGGUCGAGAAUCUUUUCCCGGAGGUGUCAGUGAAACUCUUUGUCAUUGGCACCAAAUCGAAUGCGGAACUGCGAUCUAACUCGAUUAAACCAUCCGUGACGAGUAUUUGUAUUGUGCGAGGUCGAGUUGUAUGAGUUUGGAGGACAGACGUGAUUUAAUUGACCGGAAACUAGUACUUCGAGAGCCCUUGGUUUAAAUGUUGACAAGUUUCUUCAUGAAUGGAGAUAAAUUCACUCCACAAUUUUUCCUGGAAUUUUGAAAAAUCUAUAAAUUGAUAACAAGAGACCUCGCACUCACUCGAAUUGACUGUUCAAAUAUGAAGACUCAUUACCGAAUUAUUCUAAUUAUUCGAUUGGUUGAAUAAUGAACCAUAUAUGCCAUAAAAAAUUAUAUAAAUAAAUUUGUACAGAUGUAUACAAAUGUCUAGACAAUUGUCGCGAAGGCAGAUGUUAAAGUACAGAAGCCCUUUUCGUGAUCAAUUAUAUUCAACAGAGAAAAUCAAUAAAAGCAUAAACUAUGCCGUUCAACAGCAAAUAAACUAUGUAAAUUUUUAAUGCAAAUAACGUCGAUUGACUCAACUCGACGGUAUAAAUAAUAUUGGCAGAACGCGCUAAGAAUACACAGUAAAAACAAAUACCUGAAAUUCACGUAUCUUCUGUUAACAUUUUUCAGGCGCUAAAAAAUGUCUGGUAAAUGCAAAAAUUAUCUGAAUUUCAGACAAACCGGUGCCUGGACAUCGUAACUCAUGAUUGAGAUUCAAAGAAAUUUUUAUUUCAUUCAGACGUUUUUUCACGUCUGAACAAUGUCUGCAAAAGGUUAUUUUUAUGCAACUUUUAUGCCUCGAGAGGAAUGAAUAAUUAUGAAGCGAGAUGAGAUGAGGAUGUUUUACGAUGACAUUUGUGAUCACUUUGGAUUCUCCAAAUCCAUCACAACUACCCCCCAUUUUCCUGUACUAAACAGACAUUUUUGUUAGAUUUUUUUCCCCGCGUUAAAUAUGUAACUUAUGAUUAAAUAACUCAAAAAUUUAUGUAAGUUCACACCGCGAAUCAGAGUAAAAUGCACGAAAUACUGAACAGCUCAUGCAAUCAGCAAGUUUAUGCUCUGAAAAAGAAUGUGUAAGUGCGAAGUUGGAUGAAAAAAGACAGUUCACGGUGCCAUUUGUGAUUAAUUUUACACAGAAAAAGAUAAUCACGAUUCAUUACAUCAGAAAUGAUUGAAAACAUGGAGAUAAAUAAUUACUUCUCUCCUACAAUACCGUAGUGCAUGUAAAUGAGAUUUUUAUCGAGAGGAAAACAUUGACUUGUGAGUAAUCGACUAGACCAAUGGAAGAAGCUGAAGUUAUUUUAGAAACAAAUUUUUUUUCUAAUUAUUUUAUCUAUUGCAGGAGAAGAAAAUUAUUUUAUCGGGCUGAUUUAAUGUGGGGGAUUCUAACAAAUAAAAAUGUCAAUUAGUGGGACUCGAUACCUUCGAAAUUUGAAACAUUCGCUCCGACUGAUCCUUUGGUAGCGAAUUCUUCUGAAAUUCCACAUAAUAAUGUGGUCCAACAUACGGAAAAAGUCCAAUUUGAAUAUUAAUUUUUUUCCGCUCGGUAUAAGAUAAUAAAACGUUAUUUUCUGAGUUUUCCAGACUUUUCAGAUCAAUAUUUUAUUUUUAAUAAAAUUUUCUAUCAAUUAUUUUAUGGGAAUUCAAUGGUUUUGUGUUAGUCUUUUGUGGUAUUCCACGAUAAUUGUUGCGUGCGGGUAACUGGACGGUUCGUAAAAAUUAAAAAAAUUCUUCUUCGAGUAGUGAAUCUUUUAAUUUGCAAGUUCGACGGUACUUCCCCCCAACAUUUGAUACAAAUUGCUGGGACUAUAAACGCAAAAUUUUAACAACACAACACUUCAAUUUCAGCCGCAACAACUCUAGCCAUAAGCAACUGAGGAAAAUGAGUGACAUUGCAACGCCACAUGUUAUCACCCUCGCGAUAGUACAGUAUUCGAAAAAAAUGGAAAUUUUUUUAUCACUGGACUGACAAUUUUCAAGGGAUUUAUAGGAAAUGCAAAAAAUUAUGAUUUGACUGGAAUGCUAAUGAAAUAUUUCAGUGAAUCGUAGCACGUUCAAAAAUACAAAAAUACAAAAAUACAAAUAAAUUUGGAAAUUUAUUCCCAUUCGUUCAGUGAAAUGUAAACGAUUAAUUAACAGGAAUAAAAACAAAUUCUCUUCAUCAAUUUUUGAAAUGAAUACAACAUUUUGUGAAUGUUUUUAAUUAAAAUUAUGAGAUUGUUACUGAAAUUUUAAGUUAAAUCCAAAAGUUGUACCAGAACUUUCAAUAAAAAAUAUUUAUCAAUGAAAUAAA